GGCCGAUUAGCUCAGUCAGUUGAGCGUCGCGCUAACAAUGCCAAGGUCGCAGGUUCAACACCCGCUCGGUCC
This 72-nucleotide transfer RNA is filed under the name Apaloderma vittatum (bar-tailed trogon). It matches the Rfam family "tRNA". From Rfam's summary of the family: Transfer RNA (tRNA) molecules are approximately 80 nucleotides in length. Their secondary structure includes four short double-helical elements and three loops (D, anti-codon, and T loops). The record is from Rfam by way of RNAcentral. Lineage: Eukaryota; Metazoa; Chordata; Aves; Trogoniformes; Trogonidae.